RNAcentral lists this transfer RNA (75 nucleotides) under Syntrophomonas curvata. RNAcentral's name for it is "tRNA-Thr". It matches the Rfam family "tRNA". From Rfam's summary of the family: Transfer RNA (tRNA) molecules are approximately 80 nucleotides in length. Their secondary structure includes four short double-helical elements and three loops (D, anti-codon, and T loops). The record is from RNAcentral. RNAcentral also lists the same sequence under 7 other names. Lineage: Bacteria; Bacillati; Bacillota; Clostridia; Eubacteriales; Syntrophomonadaceae.
GCCGAUGUGGCUCAGUGGCAGAGCAGCUGAUUCGUAAUCAGCAGGUCGCCGGUUCAAAUCCGGCCAUCGGCUCCA